RNAcentral lists this ribosomal RNA (253 nucleotides) under uncultured bacterium. RNAcentral's name for it is "partial 16S ribosomal RNA". It matches the Rfam family "Bacterial small subunit ribosomal RNA", at positions 524 to 776 of the family's 1533-position model. The record is from RNAcentral.
UACGUAGGCAGCAAGCGUUGUUCGGAGUUACUGGGCGUAAAGGGUGUGUAGGCGGUCCUUUAAGUUUGGUGUGAAAUCUCCCGGCUUAACCGGGAGGGUGCGCCGAAAACUGAGGGGCUAGAGUGCGGGAGAGGAGAGUGGAAUUCCUGGUGUAGCGGUGAAAUGCGUAGAUAUCAGGAGGAACACCGGUGGUGUAGACGGCUCUCUGGACCGUAACUGACGCUGAAACACGAAAGCGUGGGUAGCAAACAGG